This 468-nucleotide ribosomal RNA is filed under the name uncultured bacterium. Its description in RNAcentral is "partial 16S ribosomal RNA". It matches the Rfam family "Bacterial small subunit ribosomal RNA", at positions 28 to 507 of the family's 1533-position model. The record is from RNAcentral.
GACGAACGCUGGCGGCGUGCUUAACACAUGCAAGUCGAACGGAAAGGCCCUGCUUUUGUGGGGUGCUCGAGUGGCGAACGGGUGAGUAACACGUGAGUAACCUGCCCUUGACUUUGGGAUAACUUCAGGAAACUGGGGCUAAUACCGGAUAGGAGCUCCUGCUGCAUGGUGGGGGUUGGAAAGUUUCGGCGGUUGGGGAUGGACUCGCGGCUUACCAGCUUGUUGGUGGGGUAGUGGCUUACCAAGGCUUUGACGGGUAGCCGGCCUGAGAGGGUGACCGGCAACAUUGGGACUGAGGUACGGCGCAGACUCCUACGGGAGGCAGCAGUGGGGAAUAUUGCACAGUGGGCGGAAGCCUGAUGCAGCAACGCCGCGUGCGGGAUGACGGCCUUCGGCUUGUAAACCGCUUUCGCCUGUGACGAAGAGUGAGUGACGGUAAUGGGUAAAGAAGCACCGGCUAACUACGUG